RNAcentral lists this ribosomal RNA (406 nucleotides) under uncultured bacterium. RNAcentral's name for it is "partial 16S ribosomal RNA". It matches the Rfam family "Bacterial small subunit ribosomal RNA", at positions 28 to 526 of the family's 1533-position model. The record is from RNAcentral.
GACGAACGCUGGCGGCGUGCUUAACACAUGCAAGUCGAACGAGUGGCGAACGGGUGAGUAAUACGUGGGUAACCUGCCCUCUUUUUGGGAUAAGCCUUGGAAACGGGGACUAAUACCGACUAUAGGGGGAUGGGCUCGCGGCCUAUCAGCUUGUUGGUGGGGGGAUGGCCUACCAAGGCGGUGACGGGUAGCCGGCCUGGGAGGGUGACCGGCCACAGUGGGACUAGGUUAGGGCCCAGACGCCGAGGGGAGGGAGCAGGGGGGGAUAUUGCACAAUGGGCGGAAGCCUGAUCCAGCCAUGCCGGGUGUCUGAAGAAGGUCUUCGGGUUGUAAAGGACUUUUGUUAGGGAAGCGGUACCUAAAGAAUAAGCACCGGCUAACUACGUGCCAGCAGCCGCGGUAAUAC